ACAAAUCAAUUUUCUAAACACCUCAUUCGCAAACAAAAUAAUAAAGCAACCCCGGAUAACAUAACAACCGAACAAAACUUAUAUCCUUACCCAAAUCACAAAUACGCAUAAGAUUGAAACCGCGAGAAAAGAAUCGAUAACAACGGAAGUUUCGAGCAACCCGUUUUAGUGAGUAGAAAAAAAGAACAGAAUUGAAACCAACCAAGC
RNAcentral lists this long non-coding RNA (207 nucleotides) under Gossypium raimondii (Peruvian cotton). RNAcentral's name for it is "long non-coding RNA (GRAI_LNC004061)". The record is from RNAcentral. Lineage: Eukaryota; Viridiplantae; Streptophyta; Magnoliopsida; Malvales; Malvaceae.